UCUCUCAAUCGCAUGUACCUUUAGAAACCCAUCUAUCAUUGCCUGCAAGAGUGCAAUCUCGUCGGAAACUUCUGGUCGUAAAAACAUGAUUCCUUCAUUUCUUCACCUAAAACCCUAUCGAUUAUUCAUUAGAUCAUCAACUCCGGCCCCACUCCUUCUGCCGCAACGCUGUCUUCAUUGACCGGAACUAGAUAUAUCAGUUGCGUUUCGAAACUUCUCCUAAGGAAUCCGGUAAAAUCGAGAUUUACUUUGGAUUUAUCAUAGCUCAUGUUGCUGCUAGGGGAAUUGGUGCUGACAUAAAUUUCAAUCUGAAUGAUUUUGAGGAUGAUCUUAAACAGAGAGCUUCUGAUUGUGUUUUUGUCUCCGACUGGGACAUCUACUGCCGCUUCAAAUUCAAGGAAAGUUGCUAAUGGUUCUGCUUCGACGGUUUCAACGAAUUACUCAAAGAUUUUUACUUUGGGUUUUGGUUCUCGAGGUGGUCUUUACUCUUUUUUUUUGUGUGAUUUCGCAGACCGUGUAUAAAGGCAGAAAGAAGAAGACAAUUGAGUAUUUCGCGAUUAAAAGUGUCGGUAAAUCUCAGAAAAACAAGGUUCUUCCAGAAGAUUCUUCACACUUUGGAUCACCAAAAUUUGCUCAAUUUUUAUUCAUGGAGGAUCGUGCAGCUAGAGUGAUGGUUCCUAGGAAUCAUAUGCACUAUGUGGAAAACGGUAACUCUUCAUUGCAUCACAAAGGUAUGAGCAUGUAGAAAGCUAGCAUGGGGUGAAACAGGAUGAGAGUCUCAAUAAUUCAAACUGUGGUGAAGUCGUGCAGACUGCCUCAACUCCUACAACUGCCAAUUACUCUCUAGAAAAAGUAGAAACAUGAUUUGAUUUUUAUCCUUGUUUAUAAUGAUUGGUUUGUAUGAAAUUUGUGCAGAGAAAGAGUGUUUGUGCCGACUGUCGCACUUGAGUUAGAUUUUUUCUGUGCAACUGGAGUCACUUUUGAGAACACAGUGGUUGCAUCAGCAGGUGGCAAAGGAAUGCAGGUUGCUGAAGGUUUAGAUGAUUUGAAGAUAGUACUGCUUAUUGAGUUCAUAGUUUUUACCUCUGUCUUAUAUAUGUUGGUCCAUUGUUGAUUCAUAGUUUUAUUGAGUUCACAUCAAGGAAAGAUAGUACUACUGGUGAAGGUAUUGUUUUGAUAUUGAUCCUUUUUGUAGCAAAAUCAACUGAAGUGCUUAGUGCCCAUCAAUACAACUUCCAAUUUCAGAAACUCGGUAUGCUUAUUCGCUCAAGCAUAAUCACUUCGGUUUACAAAAAGGGUUUAAGAUUGUCGAGUUCUUCAAGAUAAACUCAUGGAA
Vicia villosa (hairy vetch) is the source of this 1336-nucleotide long non-coding RNA. RefSeq lists it as uncharacterized. NCBI's taxonomy places the organism in Eukaryota, Viridiplantae, Streptophyta, Magnoliopsida, Fabales, Fabaceae. The transcript is spliced from 6 exons. The record is from RefSeq and is a predicted model, not a curated record.